GGGCCCGCACAAGCGGUGGAGUAUGUGGUUUAAUUCGAUGCAACGCGAAGAACCUUACCAGGGUUUGACAUCCUGCGAAUCUCUUGGAAACAGGAGAGUGCCUUCGGGAACGCAGUGACAGGUGGUGCAUGGCUGUCGUCAGCUCGUGUCGUGAGAUGUUGGGUUAAGUCCCGCAACGAGCGCAACCCACGUCUUUAGUUGCCAGCAUUUAGUUGGGCACUCUAGAGAGACUGCCGGUGAUAAGCCGAGAGGAAGGUGGGGAUGACGUCAAGUCCUCAUGGCCCUUACGGGCUGGGCUACACACGUGCUACAAUGGUGGUGACAGUGGGCAGCGAGACGGCAACGUCGAGCUAAUCUCCAAAAGCCAUCUCAGUUCGGAUUGGGUCUGCAACUCGACCCCAUGAAGUUGGAAUCGCUAGUAAUCG
This 425-nucleotide ribosomal RNA is filed under the name uncultured bacterium. Its description in RNAcentral is "bacterial SSU rRNA". It matches the Rfam family "Bacterial small subunit ribosomal RNA", at positions 917 to 1344 of the family's 1533-position model. The record is from RNAcentral.